UCAAAGGUCAAGGUCACAGUGACCCUGAAAUAGUAAAAUGGUUUCCGGAUGAUAACUCAAGAACGCUUAUGCCUAGGAUCAUGAAACUUCAUGGUACAUUGAUCAUGCCUGGCAGAUGACCCCUAUUGAUUUUCAGGUCACUAGGUCAAAGGUCAAGGUCACAGCGACAAAAAACAUAUUUACAAAAUGGCUGUCACUACAACUGAGAGCCCAUAUGGGGGGCAUGCAUGUUUUACAAACAGCCCUUGUUUAUUACUGCCUUGGAUUUUCCUGCUGCUAUUUAGUGUUCCUGGGAUAAUGUUUUAGUUUGAUAAAAAUCAAUGUUAUAUAAGCAAUAACAAAAACAAGACAUUAAGUGUCAAUUAAGCAACAAUUUAAUGCAUACUUUAUCAAAGAUGGACUUGUUUUAUAAAGUAAUGUACCCUAUUAAGUGUCAAUUAGGUUCCCGAUUUAAUUAUGUGAUCGAUUGGGAAUUAAAUUUGUAAACUAUUAAACCAAAGAACAUGCAUGAAAUGUUAUUCAAUGUAAAAUGGUCUGUGUGAUAGUACAGUUUUAGGAAACCUAACACCUUCCAAAUGCCCACGUGAUAGUUCAGUGAAUAUUGAUUGGCUUUUUACUGGUUUCAUAAUCAUGUGAUAGUCAGUUAACAUAGUUACACUGUUUACUGGUAACACAAAAUUGGGCUGCACAUUAGUACAGAGAUCAUAGCACUCUUAGCUGUUUAUCGGAUUUGUUCCUGUUAAGUUAAACACCUUUUUAAAAAAGGUAAACUUUAAAUCAACCACUGUGUUUGUGGAAUAGGUUUCUAUAUUGACAGAGAUACAUUGAGUAUUUUUACUUGCAAAUACAAAUUGCAGUUUGCGUUUUACUAAUACACUACAAAAUGGCAUCAUUUUCUCAGUCUUCUAUUGAGAAGGGUUCUGAUUUCGUUCGUGAAUAUUUAUGUAGUGGUAGUGCCUGCAAAGACAAGAGCACUGUUGCUGAGGUUUACUGUGAAACGUGUGACAAGUUAUUCUGUAAGAAGUGUUGUGGCUUACAUGACCAGUUGUUUACAGGUCAUAAUGUUCUUGGAAAGGAACAUGAAAAUAAAUGGUCUGUAUCCAAAGAGAAAGACAGAACAUCACAGAAAUUGAAAGUGGACUCCAGUAGACCUCAACCAGGUAAUAAGGACCCCUCAAAGAAUCUUGUGUUGAACAAAAGUGCAGCCAUUAAGCAGCGAGUUUCUAAGACUUCUAAAGCAG
Dreissena polymorpha is the source of this 1241-nucleotide long non-coding RNA. RefSeq lists it as uncharacterized. The transcript has 3 exons. The record is from RefSeq and is a predicted model, not a curated record. NCBI's taxonomy places the organism in Eukaryota, Metazoa, Mollusca, Bivalvia, Myida, Dreissenidae.